GACGGAGGAUGCAAGUGUUAUCCGGAAUCACUGGGCGUAAAGCGUCUGUAGGUGGUUUAUUAAGUCAACUGUUAAAUCUUGUGGCUCAACCUCAAAAUCGCAGUCGAAACUAUUAGGCUAGAGUAUAGUAGGGGUAAAGGGAAUUUCCAGUGGAGCGGUGAAAUGCGUAGAGAUUGGAAAGAACACCGAUGGCGAAGGCACUUUACUGGGCUAUUACUAACACUCAGAGACGAAAGCUAGGGUAGCAAAUGGG
This 253-nucleotide ribosomal RNA is filed under the name uncultured bacterium. Its description in RNAcentral is "partial 16S ribosomal RNA". It matches the Rfam family "Bacterial small subunit ribosomal RNA", at positions 524 to 776 of the family's 1533-position model. The record is from RNAcentral.